This 93-nucleotide transfer RNA is filed under the name Ornithorhynchus anatinus (platypus). It matches the Rfam family "tRNA". From Rfam's summary of the family: Transfer RNA (tRNA) molecules are approximately 80 nucleotides in length. Their secondary structure includes four short double-helical elements and three loops (D, anti-codon, and T loops). The record is from Rfam by way of RNAcentral. Lineage: Eukaryota; Metazoa; Chordata; Mammalia; Monotremata; Ornithorhynchidae.
CCUUCGAUAGCUCAGCUGGUAGAGCGGAGGACUGUAGGUGGUGAUGUGAUGGUGGUGAUCCUUAGGUCGCUGGUUCGAUUCCGGCUCGAAGGA